This 363-nucleotide ribosomal RNA is filed under the name uncultured fungus. RNAcentral describes it as "SSU rRNA". It matches the Rfam family "Eukaryotic small subunit ribosomal RNA", at positions 285 to 647 of the family's 1831-position model. Lineage: Eukaryota; Fungi. The record is from RNAcentral.
GGGCGAUGGUUCAUUCAAAUUUCUGCCCUAUCAACUUUCGAUGGUAGAGUAGUGGUCUACCAUGGUUUCAACGGGUAACGGGAAAAUUAGGGUUCUAUUCCUGGAGAGGGAGCCUGAGAAACGGUACCACAUCCAAGGAAGGCAGCAGGCGCGCAAAUUACCCAAUCCCGACACGGGGAGGUAGUGACAAUAAAUACUGAUACAGGGCUCUUUUGGGUCUUGUAAUUGGAAUGAGUACAAUUUAAAUCCCUUAACGAGGAACAAUUGGAGGGCAAGUCUGGUGCCAGCAGCCGGGUAAUUCCAGCUCCAAUAGCGUAUAUUAAAGUUGUUGCAGUUAAAAAGCUCGUAGUUGAACCUUGGGCC